RNAcentral lists this ribosomal RNA (448 nucleotides) under uncultured bacterium. RNAcentral's name for it is "partial 16S ribosomal RNA". It matches the Rfam family "Bacterial small subunit ribosomal RNA", at positions 29 to 507 of the family's 1533-position model. The record is from RNAcentral.
AAUGAACGUUGGCGGCGUGGAUUAGGCAUGCAAGUCGAGCGAGAACCCCGCAAGGGGGGACAGCGGCGAAAGGGACAGUAAUGUGUAGAUUAUCUGCCCUCAGGCCCGGGAUAGCUGCGGGAAACUGCAGGUAAUACCGGAUAACAUCUCCGGAUCAAAGGCGUGAUUGCGCCUGAGGAUGAGUGUGCAUCCUAUUAGCUAGUUGGUGGGGUAAUGGCCUACUAAGGCGUUGAUGGGUAGCCGGUGUGAGUGGGUGAGCGGCGUCAUUGGGACUGAGACACGGGCCAGAGUCCUACAGGAGGCAGCAGUGGGGAAUAUGGUAAAAUGGGAGGAAGCCUGAUGAAGCAACGUCGGGUGGGGGAUAACGGUCUUAGGGUUGUAAACGGGGUUCGCCUGUGAGGAAGAGGGAGUGACGGUAAUGGGUAAAGAAGCACCGGCUAACUACGUG